GUGUGUGUUAAUAGGGUAAAAAGAAAAGAAAAAAAAAGCAAAAACAGGCAAAAAGAGAGCAAAAGAUAAUGUAAACAGUGCAAAAAUAUUUCACAAAUACCCCCAAUACCCCCACACCUAGUUUAGACAUUGUCCUCAAUGUAAAAUAUACAAGGAAAAUUGAAGAGAGGGAAAGGGACUUCCUGGCCUGUGGGUGAUUUGGCCAGUGAUUUGGGCAAAUCACUCAGCCAAAUCACUGUCUGUCAUGGUGUGUGGGCAGGAGAUUGU
Molecule: long non-coding RNA, 267 nt
Filed under: Manihot esculenta (cassava)
Lineage: Eukaryota; Viridiplantae; Streptophyta; Magnoliopsida; Malpighiales; Euphorbiaceae
Description: long non-coding RNA (MESC_LNC011519)
Source: RNAcentral